Molecule: non-coding RNA, 201 nt
Filed under: Bacillota bacterium
Lineage: Bacteria; Bacillati; Bacillota
Description: Firmicutes bacterium 6S RNA
Rfam family: 6S / SsrS RNA
About the family: E. coli 6S RNA was the first non coding RNA to be sequenced, but its function was unknown until recently.
Source: RNAcentral
UGAGCCCUGCCGUGCCCGUGUCUGGCCGUGAGUGUUUUGAGCCAACACCAUCACCUGGGGAGCCCAAGCUCUACGCGAGGCCGUAGACCCUUGACCUGCGCCCACUUCGGUGGGCUCGAGGGGAACGCUAAUCGCGCAGGCGGCACCCACCUGCAUAUGCAGGUUCAAAACAGGGCGGCUGCACGACACGGUGGGGAGAUC